RNAcentral lists this ribosomal RNA (292 nucleotides) under uncultured bacterium. RNAcentral describes it as "partial 16S ribosomal RNA". It matches the Rfam family "Bacterial small subunit ribosomal RNA", at positions 28 to 310 of the family's 1533-position model. The record is from RNAcentral.
GAUGAACGCUAGCUACAGGCUUAACACAUGCAAGUCGAGGGGCAUCAGGAAGAAAGCUUGCUUUCUUUGCUGGCGACCGGCGCACGGGUGAGUAACACGUAUCCAACCUGCCGAUGACUCGGGGGAUAGCCUUUCGAAAGAAAGAUUAAUACCCGAUGGUAUAUCUGAAAGGCAUCUUUCAGCUAUUAAAGAAUUUCGGUCAUUGAUGGGGAUGCGUUCCAUUAGGUUGUUGGCGGGGUAACGGCCCACCAAGCCAUCGAUGGAUAGGGGUUCUGAGAGGAAGGUCCCCCCA